RNAcentral lists this ribosomal RNA (2215 nucleotides) under human gut metagenome. RNAcentral's name for it is "bacterial LSU rRNA". It matches the Rfam family "Bacterial large subunit ribosomal RNA", at positions 683 to 2925 of the family's 2925-position model. The record is from RNAcentral.
CUGAACAGGGCGAAAUAGUCAGUCGGAGUAGACCCGAAACCGGGUGAUCUAUCCAUGUCCAGGUUGAAGUUGCCGUAAAAGGCAAUGGAGGACCGAACCCACAUCCGUUGAAAAGGGUGGGGAUGAGGUGUGGAUAGGGGAGAAAUUCCAAUCGAACCCGGAGAUAGCUGGUUCUCCUCGAAAUAGCUUUAGGGCUAGCCUCAUGAGAGUCUUAUGGAGGUAGAGCACUGAAUUGCCUAGGGGGCGUCAAAGCUUACCAAAGCAUAUCAAACUCCGAAUGCCAUCAAGAUGAUUCAUGGGAGUCAGACCAUACGAGAUAAGUUGGAUGGUCAAAAGGGAAAGAGCCCAGACCUACAGCUAAGGUCCCAAAGUGCGUGUUAAGUGGAAAAGGAUGUGGGAUUUCGAAGACAACUAGGAUGUUGGCUCAGAAGCAGCCAUUCAUUCAAAGAGUGCGUAAUAGCUCACUAGUCGAGAGGUCCUGCGCCGAAAAUGUCCGGGGCUAAAACACACUGCCGAAGCUUUGGAAUUGAAUUAAUUCAAUUGGUAGAGGAGCAUUCUUAAAGGGACGAAGCAGUACCGUAAGGAGCUGUGGACUUUUAAGAAGAGAGAAUGCCGGAAUGAGUAGCGAGAGGAAGGUGGGAAUCCUUCCGGCCGAAUAUCUAAGGUUUCCAGAGUAAAGCUGAUCUGCUCUGGGUAAGUCGGGGCCUAAGGCGAGGUCGAAAGACGUAGUCGAUGGAUAACAGGUUGAAAUUCCUGUACUAUCCUGUAACAGAACUGUGGGGACACAGGCAGAGAGCGUGAGCCGGGAAUGGAAAGACCGGUACAAGCGAGGUAGGAAAAGAGUUGGCAAAUCCGCUCUUUAAUCUGAAGACGUGAUGUGGACUGAAAAUAAGUAGGGAAGCACGUGAGCUGACUGUCAAGAAAAGCCGCUAUUGUUUGCAGGAUACCCGUACCGUAAACCGACACAGGUGGAUGAGGAGAGAAUCCUAAGGCCGACGGGAGAAGCAUUGUUAAGGAACUCGGCAAAAUGACUCCGUAACUUCGGGAGAAGGAGUGCCAGUAAGAUGGCCGCAGAGAAUUGGCCCAAGCAACUGUUUAGCAAAAACACAGGUCUAUGCAAAACCGAAAGGUGAGGUAUAUGGGCUGACGCCUGCCCGGUGCUGGAAGGUUAAGGGGAGAGGUUAGCGCAAGCGAAGCUUUGAACUUAAGCCCCAGUAAACGGCGGCCGUAACUAUAACGGUCCUAAGGUAGCGAAAUUCCUUGUCGGGUAAGUUCCGACCCGCACGAAAGGCGUAAUGAUUUGAGCGCUGUCUCGACAAUGCAUCCGGUGAAAUUGAAGUACCAGUGAAGAUGCUGGUUACCUGCGCCAGGACGGAAAGACCCCAUGGAGCUUUACUCCAGUUUGAUACUGGGAUUCGGCAUGGUAUGUACAGGAUAGGUGGGAGACUGAGAAGGUAUGACGUCAGUUGUACCGGAGUCGCUGUUGGGAUACCACCCUUACCAUGUUGGAUUUCUAACCUGUGGCCGUAAGCCGGUCAGGGGACAAUGUCAGGCGGGGAGUUUGACUGGGGCGGUCGCCUCCGAAAGGGUAUCGGAGGCGCUCAAAGGUUCCCUCAGAAUGGUUGGAAACCAUUCGAAGAGUGCAAAGGCAGAAGGGAGCUUGACUGCGACACCGACGGGUGGAGCAGGUACGAAAGUAGGACUUAGUGAUCCGGUGGUAUAAAGUGGGAUUGCCAUCGCUCAACGGAUAAAAGCUACCCUGGGGAUAACAGGCUUAUCACUCCCAAGAGUUCACAUCGACGGAGUGGUUUGGCACCUCGAUGUCGGCUCAUCGCAUCCUGGGGCUGUAGUAGGUCCCAAGGGUUGGGCUGUUCGCCCAUUAAAGCGGUACGCGAGCUGGGUUCAGAACGUCGUGAGACAGUUCGGUCCCUAUCCGGCGUGGGCGUAGGAUAUUUGAGAGGAGCUGUCCUUAGUACGAGAGGACCGGGAUGGACUGGCCGCUGGUGUAUCUGUUGUCUUACCAAAGGCAUAGCAGAGUAGCCAAGCCGGGAAGGGAUAAACGCUGAAGGCAUCUAAGCGUGAAGCCCCCCUCAAGAUGAGAUAUCCCAUACGCAAGUAGUAAGACCCCUUGAAGACGACGAGGUAGAUAGGGCAGAGGUGGAAGUGUGGUAACACAUGGAGCUGACUGUUACUAAUAGGUCGAGGGCAUAACCAA